RNAcentral lists this ribosomal RNA (293 nucleotides) under uncultured bacterium. Its description in RNAcentral is "partial 16S ribosomal RNA". It matches the Rfam family "Bacterial small subunit ribosomal RNA", at positions 333 to 618 of the family's 1533-position model. The record is from RNAcentral.
UAACUCCUACGGGACGCAGCAGUAGGGAAUCUUCCACAAUGGGCGAAAGCCUGAUGGAGCAACGGCGCGUGGGAGAAGAAGGUCUUCGGAUCGUAAAACCCUGUUGUUAGAGAAGAAAGUGCGUGAGAGUAACUGUUCACGUUUCGACGGUAUCUAACCAGAAAGCCACGGCUAACUACGUGCCAGCAGCCGCGGUAAUACGUAGGUGGCAAGCGUUAUCCGGAUUUAUUGGGCGUAAAGGGAACGCAGGGGGUCUUUUAAGUCUGAUGUGAACGCCUUCGGCUUAACCGGAG